Molecule: ribosomal RNA, 2173 nt
Filed under: bacterium
Lineage: Bacteria
Description: partial 23S ribosomal RNA
Rfam family: Bacterial large subunit ribosomal RNA
Source: RNAcentral
GCGAAGGGGUGACCCACGCUGGAGCGUUGCGAAGUAAGAAUGUUGGCACAAGUAACCACAAUGCGGGUGAGAAACCCGCACGCCGAAAGAACAAGGUUUCCCUCUCAACGUUUGUCGGAGAGGGGUUAGUCGGUCCUAAGGAAAUGGUGAGAACCGCAUCCGAUGGACACAGGGUUAAUAUUCCCUGACUAUCUGUGUAAGUGAUGAGAGGACGGAGAUGAGUAUGUAUCGCGCAUUAUCGGAUUUGACGUCCGUGCUUUAAGGAAGUGUACGAGGAAAAACCCGGACACUAGCUUUAAUGCUGAUUCCAAGAAGAGCGGAAAUGCUCAGCCUCGGCCGGGCAAAUGAUACAAAGCCAUCUUCCAAGAAAAUUCUCUAAACUUAUUACGCAGAUAUCCGUACCGCAAACCGACACAGGUGUUCAGCUCGAGUAGAGCAAGGCGAACGAGUGAGACGUCCCCAAGGAACUCGGCAAAAAAGCAGCCGUAACUUCGGAAUAAGGCUUGCCCCGACUAUGUCGGGGCCGCAGCUAAAGUAUCUCUGGCAACUGUUUAUCAAAAACACAGCUCCCUGCGAACUCGCAAGAGGAUGUAUAGGGGGUGACACCUGACCAAUGCCAGAAGGUCAAACACGGGGGGUCUUAUUAUCUUCGGAUAAGAAGGCUGGACUGUGUAAGCCCUGGUGAAUGUCGGCCGUAACUAUAGACAUGACCGUUGUAGUUACGAAAAUAAAUCUUGCCAUAUGCUGGAAAACCCGGUCCGCCUUAGGCGGAAACAAAGUAGUAUGCAUUACGAACACAUGUUGAUGUGUCGUGACAAUAUGUAUAUGCGGAUAAUCAGCAGGAAAGUCUUCUGAUCUAACAAAACAUAAUGAAAAAUAUUCCAGUUGAUAUAGGAAACUAUAUUGCGGGGUUCACAGACGGAGAAGGAAGCUUCAACGUCUCGAUCAAAAAGAGGUUAGAUUACAAAGAAAGUUGGAAACUGACCGCGUCGUUCAACAUAUCUCAAAAAGAUAGAGUUAUCCUUGCAUGGGUAAAGCAUAUUUUGGGGUGUGGAACAUUGCGGGAAAGAAAAGAUGGCGUUGUGUAUUACGAAGUAACAAACAUUACUUCACUCCACGAAGUCAUUAUUCCAUUCUUCAAAAUGUAUGGUUUCCGCUCGGCAUACAAAAAGAAUAAUUUCAGAAUUUUUUCUGAAAUAGUCAAAAUGAUGUAUGCAGGCGAGCAUCAUACUCAAGAAGGAUUUCGGAAAGUUCUAGAAUUAAGAGAAACACUUAAUCCUGGAAUUGGAAGAAAACGAAAAUACACAUUAUUAGAUGUCGUAACUUCAGAAGAAUCCCCAGAGACUAUACGCAAGACGGUUUCAAAUCAAACAUUGGAGUCGACGAUUUGAAAACGAUGAUAUAGUCCGAUCUCAUUGGCAACAAUGAGUUAACACGUAAGUAAUAGAUUGGUAAAUAGUUGAAGAAAGAUCAUUACACCAAGAAAAGCUACUAGAAAUGAACGGUCCUAAGGUAGCGAAAUUCCUUGUCUGGUAAUUGAAUUGCCAGCUUCGAGAGUGAUCUCGAUGAAAAAUUCGGCUUAUAACGGUGGAGCCCAAUCUCGAAAGAGAGGGUAAUACCGUGGGAAGUCGUUCAGCACUAAUUUUUGGAUUAAAUAAGAACAAGCACCCCCUUUUGAGGGUGCUUGGGAAUUCGAAGUGAGGAAUCUCAAGUCAGGAGAACCGUGGCGAUUACCACGAGACUCAUGACCAAUAGAGUCAACACUAAAAUGAUGUACAGUCUUGGCUCACCCUUGUAUUUGGGGUUAGUCAAGAUUUCUCUGAGUCCUGUAAACAUAAGCACCUCCAUAGGUAUAGUAUCAUAUGGUUGUUUAUAUGUCAAGUAUAAUCUUGACUCCAAAAAUUAGUGCUGAAUUGACCCCGUAACGACUGAGCUUAAAUGCAAGACUUGCCAACCAGUUUUGGCAGGUAACACGCCGACUCUCGAUUCAUAAAAUCGAGAUGAAGAUAUAGUCUAAUGCCCGCAGGAAUGCGGGGAAGGAGGUUCUACUUCGCGCAAGUGGAACAUCAAACUCAAAUGAAGUUCAGACGCGCACGAAUGGUGUAAUGACUGGAGAACUGUCUCGGGGACCUGCUCGGUGAAAAUACAAUACCGGUGAAGAUGCCGGUUACCU